CCCUUAGAUGUUCUGGGCCGCACGCGCGCUACACUGACGGAGCCAGCGAGUACUUCCUUGGCCGAAAGGCCCGGGUAAUCUUGUUAAACUCCGUCGUGCUGGGGAUAGAGCAUUGCAAUUAUUGCUCUUCAACGAGGAAUCCCUAGUAAGCGCAAGUCAUCAGCUUGCGUUGAUUACGUCCCUGCCCUUUGUACACACCGCCCGUCGCUACUA
RNAcentral lists this non-coding RNA (213 nucleotides) under Cajanus cajan (pigeon pea). Its description in RNAcentral is "Eukaryotic small subunit ribosomal RNA". It matches the Rfam family "Eukaryotic small subunit ribosomal RNA", at positions 1470 to 1684 of the family's 1831-position model. Lineage: Eukaryota; Viridiplantae; Streptophyta; Magnoliopsida; Fabales; Fabaceae. The record is from Rfam by way of RNAcentral.